CAAGCAGAGGAGGGAUAUCUCACCUGGCCUUGGCAGCCAGAGCAGCUUCCCAGAGAAGAAGAUGAAGAGCUCAGUCCUGAAGAAGUAGAAGUUAGCGAGUUAAAGAGGGGCAGGCUGGGAUGGAGAGGGGACUAGAUACCACAAGCAGGACGAUCGUGUUGCACAAAUCCAGGGGAUGCUAUUCGCACUGUGGUCUAGAAUAUAAACAGCGCCUCCUGGAGUUGUGUAGCUCAGUGACCUAAAGGAGUUAGCCUCCCAAUUUGCCAGAAAACCUUUAAAAAGCUAGGCUGAGAAUAUCGACAAGAUCAUGUGCUAAAUGCAAAGAAGUCUUCAGGAGGGGGCUGUGGCAGGAGGGAAAUGGGUGGGAGUGGGCUUCUAGGUUCUUGCAAAGAUUAAAACUGAACCCUCCAUUGAAAGCCUUUCAAGAUGCCCCCAGACCUGGAAACAGUGCUGGACUUGGCUGGAAAAAGGGGAGGCUGUCAGGAGGUAAAGCUGGAGAAUGCUGGAACCUCAGACACCGAAACGCUAAUAGACAUGGCUCAUCCCUACCGAAAACCAAGUGAGAAAUUCGUGCUUAGUCUCAUAUUUGACAAUCUGGAAUUGCUCAUUUUCAUACUCACUUUCAAUAAGAGAGAGCCCUGAGCAAGGUUGUGAAAUAAAAUAAUUAUAGUCCUUUCAUUCAUACUGCAUUGUAUAAUUUACAUAAAGUUUUGUUAUUCAUUUUUUUAUCCGAGUCUCACAACAACCGUGUGAGGCAGGUGGAACAGGGAUUGCCAUUCCCUUCUGGCAAAAGACGAAACCGAGGCCCAGAACAGUUAAGUUACCAGAAUUCAUAGAGCCCAUUAUGUGGAACAGCCAGGCUAGAAUUCAGGCCCUUUGAGACAUUCCACGUUCGUUCCACUCUACCACGGAGAAAGGCUUGCCUUUGACAACUUGCCUGCCAGCUCCCUUGCCCACACUUGCUACUUUGUGACACCACGCUGCUUAUAUCCACCCCUGGGAAACUUCUCAUUUGUCUCCCCCUUCCACGGCGACCUUUUCUAGGCUACAGCCCCUCGUCCACACGCAGCUUUUCUCUGAUCUCAAGAACGUGUCCAUGCAGAGGAACUCUUUUUAAGGUUCUGUUUCAUGAGAGGGGCCGGGAGAACCUACCCACUGACCUAAUUUACUAAUUCUUGCUGAGAAGUUUGGGGAGUGAUUGUUACUCCUCCGAGAUAACAGCGCACUUUAAGAGAAGUUCUCAAUGCCUUACUCCAAAGGAUAGAUUCCAAUUGUGAGAGUUUUAGCGUUUUGGCUUAUUUUGAAGCGCCUGCAGAUCCUAUGAUGUAAGUGCCCCUUCCCCCUAACACACACCUGGGACUAGCCCCACCUGAGUGAGCUAACAAGCUAGUCGUCUAGUCCUUUGUGCAUAGGUGCCUUCUUCCUCUGAGCCCAGGGAACACAUCUUGACUCGCAGCUGAAGACUGGCUCCGUGGCCAGCUGGCACCCAGAGCUCUCCCAGGGAGAGUCAGCUUUUGGGAGCUAACGGCACACUCCUGCCUGGUCUGCAGCGCCUGCCAUAGGUCUCCCCUUCCCGUCCCUCCAGGGAGCUGGAGCUUCUCCUUCUUCCUGAGAUGCUCAGGGAUUCUUGUCAGAGAGGGGAAGUGAGUUGCUGAAAGGAUGCUUGCUGUGGGGCACUGCCCAGCUCUGCCUCGACCCUUCAGCGCCGAAGCCCUCAGCUCCCCAGCUGUAGGGAGUGCUGCUGAUCGACAGUGCACAGCUGAGCCCCUCACCAGGAACGGCCCUUAGCUGAAGAGAGCCACCGCGCCCAAGGUCGUGCACCCAUCCCAGGUGGCAGCCUGCAUCCGUGACGGCAAGACCCAGGGUUUCACAACUGGCGCCCAUGCUGUGCCCACUGACACGCCCUGUUCACUGGAGUCCUCCCUCACCAUGUGCCAGCAGCUGCUGCAGCCCUGUUUGGUGGUGAAAGGAAGGGUAGAAGGUAUCCUCUCCAUUUACAGACCACCUGAUUUCUCCUGCAACUGCAGUUUCCAGCAUUCUGACAGUCUUCCAUCUCAAGUAGCUUGUCUCUCUUCUCUGCCUGAGGCUUUCUUAGGCAGUGGAAGCUUGCUCUGCCUGAGCCAGGUGCAACCCGGAAGUGCAGGAUAGUAAAGAUCAUUGGCGCUGACCUUCAACCAAUGGGGAUGGAAUAAAUAUCACAGACUUCUCCUCCGAUGGGAUGAUUCUGAGGCAUGGUCCACAUGGUUUAUCAGAGAGUCUCCUGCAAGACUGAGUCCCAGCUGCCCACAGGAUAACUUGCUCGUUAACAUACUUGUUAGUAGCUUUUCUCCCUUCUUUGUCUCACUUUCCCCAUUUUCUUCUUGUGCUCCUGAGAUCACCUCCUAAAUAAACC
RNAcentral lists this long non-coding RNA (2392 nucleotides) under Equus asinus (donkey). RNAcentral describes it as "lncRNA (ENSEASG00005034294.1)". Lineage: Eukaryota; Metazoa; Chordata; Mammalia; Perissodactyla; Equidae. The record is from RNAcentral.